AGCCCUCUCCCCACCCAGAAUCUCGUCUCUGCCCCUGCCCCGUCCCUAUCCCGUCCACCUCCCGCGAUGUUAUUGCCGCCCCUGGGGCUGUCUCCUUCCCUUUUCCAAUAGAUGACCCCCGGGGAGCGGCCUUUGUGUUUCCCUGUCC
Chelonia mydas (Green sea turtle) is the source of this 148-nucleotide long non-coding RNA. RefSeq lists it as uncharacterized. NCBI's taxonomy places the organism in Eukaryota, Metazoa, Chordata, Testudines, Cheloniidae. The record is from RefSeq and is a predicted model, not a curated record. The transcript has 3 exons.